Non-coding RNA from Acanthosepion pharaonis, 113 nucleotides. The record is from the annotation of a GenBank genome assembly. Lineage: Eukaryota; Metazoa; Mollusca; Cephalopoda; Sepiida; Sepiidae.
UACGGUCUUAUCACGUUGAAACAUCAAUUCUCGCACGAUCACCGAAGUUAAGCAACGUUGAACCUAGUCAGUACCUUGUUGAGUGAUCGCUUGAGAAUACCAGAUGCUGUAAG